This 253-nucleotide ribosomal RNA is filed under the name uncultured bacterium. RNAcentral describes it as "partial 16S ribosomal RNA". It matches the Rfam family "Bacterial small subunit ribosomal RNA", at positions 524 to 776 of the family's 1533-position model. The record is from RNAcentral.
UACGGGGGGGGCAAGCGUUGUUCGGAAUUACUGGGCGUAAAGGGCUCGUAGGCGGCCAACUAAGUCAGACGUGAAAUCCCUCGGCUUAACCGGGGAACUGCAUCUGAUACUGGAUGGCUCGAGUUUGGGAGAGGGAUGCGGAAUUCCAGGUGUAGCGGUGAAAUGCGUAGAUAUCUGGAGGAACACCGGUGGCGAAGGCGGCAUCCUGGACCAACACUGACGCUGAGGAGCGAAAGCGUGGGGAGCGAACAGG